Molecule: long non-coding RNA, 836 nt
Filed under: Salvia miltiorrhiza (redroot sage)
Lineage: Eukaryota; Viridiplantae; Streptophyta; Magnoliopsida; Lamiales; Lamiaceae
Description: long non-coding RNA (SMIL_LNC011851)
Source: RNAcentral
UUACAUCCCUCCCUCCUUAUAAAAAUUUCGUCCUCGAAAUUGCAUAUCUGGGUAAUCUAGUUUGGGAUACUAGACUUCACUAUCAGUGCGGCUACAUAGCUUGAUUGUUAUCGCAUCUUUCUAAUUGUGAGAACACCAUGUCUAUAGUCUCGAGAACUGGUGACAAACGAACUCAUUCUAAUCAUAUCAUGCUUAUCGUGAUGGAAGCAAAAUCUUAUUGUGACAACUACAUAGUGAGAGUCUAUACAUUGGGAUGACGCUCUAUCUCGAGAUCAAAAAUCUUAAUUGACAAUCACCGAGAUCUUAGUCAUGUGGGCUGGCCAGACCCAGCACGGCGAGUCACUCAGUCAAAUGGGAGCUUCGCCCCCAAUCAUGUCAACAUCUUAUCUCUUAUAAGGCUCUAAUUGAACUUCUAACUUAAGCACUUACUUCUAAGUACUUCAAUCAUAAAUCAUUGGUACCAUAUAAAUCCAUUCUAUGCCGUUCUAGUGCUGCUAUCACGACUAACAUUCUUAAGACAUUAUUGGGUGGUUCUCAAACGAUUUGUAAAAGAACUCAUCAUUCUAAUCAUAUAGGCAGUGAACCUAAAAUGAUAACAUAAAGCUUUCUCAUCAUUCAUUCAUACAUACAUACAUACAUAUAUUUGCUUUCUUUGAAAUUUUGAGUCAUAUGGACAUUAAAUGUCCCUUUCAUGAAAAACUUUGCUUAUGCCGGAAAGAUUCAAGGAAUCUAACUCGACCAUACAUACAUACAUACAUUGAUUCGUUAAGGGCUCGGGUUGUCUCAAACACGAAAUACAUUCAUUGAGUCGUUAUGGGUUCGGGUAGUCCCAAACA